GAUGAAGAACGUAGCGAAAUGCGAUACUUGGUGUGAAUUGCAGAAUUCAGUGAAUCAUCGAAUCUUUGAACGCACAUUGCGCCCGUCAGUAUUCUGGCGGGCAUGCCUGUUCGAGCGUCAUUACGCCCCUCAAGUCCCCUGUGGACUUGGUGUUGGGGAUCGGCGAGGCUGGUUUUCCAGCACAGCCGUCCCUUAAAUUAAUUGGCGGUCUCGCCGUGGCCCUCCUCUGCGCAGUAGUAAAACACUCGCAACAGGAGCCCGGCGCGGUCCACUGCCGUAAAACCCCCCAACUUUUUAUAGUUGACCUCGAAUCAGGUAGGACUACCCGCUGAACUUAAGCAUAUCAAUAAGCGGAGGA
Molecule: unclassified non-coding RNA, 358 nt
Filed under: soil metagenome
Description: partial contains 5.8S ribosomal RNA, internal transcribed spacer 2, and large subunit ribosomal RNA
Rfam family: 5.8S ribosomal RNA (bases 1-120)
Source: RNAcentral